This 323-nucleotide ribosomal RNA is filed under the name uncultured eukaryote. RNAcentral's name for it is "bacterial SSU rRNA". It matches the Rfam family "Eukaryotic small subunit ribosomal RNA", at positions 695 to 1018 of the family's 1831-position model. The record is from RNAcentral.
CAAUAGCGUAUAUUAAAGUUUUGCGAAAGCUCGUAGUUGGAUUUCUGCUGAGGACUUUUACUUUGAGGAAAUUAGAGUGUUUCAAGCAGGCGCACGCCUUGAAUACAUUAGCAUGGAUUAUUAAGAUAGGACCUUGGUUCUAUUUUAAUGGUUUCUAGAUCUGAGGUAAUGAUUAAUAGGGAUAAUUAAAGUUAUUCUUAUUUAACUGUCAGAGGUAAAAUUCUUGGAUGUGUUAAAGACGGACUACUGCGAAAGCAUUUGCCAAGAAUGUUUUCAUUGCUCAAGAACGAUAGUUAGGGGGAUCGAAGACGAUCAGAUACCGU